RNAcentral lists this ribosomal RNA (270 nucleotides) under uncultured archaeon. RNAcentral's name for it is "partial 16S ribosomal RNA". It matches the Rfam family "Archaeal small subunit ribosomal RNA", at positions 477 to 747 of the family's 1478-position model. The record is from RNAcentral.
CAGCACCUCAAGUGGUCAGGAUGAUUAUUGGGCCUAAAGCAUCCGUAGCCGGCUCUGUAAGUUUUCGGUUAAAUCUGUACGCUCAACGUACAGGCUGCCGGGAAUACUGCAGAGCUAGGGAGUGGGAGAGGUAGACGGUACUCGGUAGGAAGGGGUAAAAUCCUUUGAUCUAUUGAUGACCACCUGUGGCGAAGGCGGUCUACCAGAACACGUCCGACGGUGAGGGACGAAAGCUGGGGGAGCAAGCCGGAUUAGAUACCCGUGUAGUCC